AUCCAGCAAUGCCGCGUGAGUGAAGAAGGCCUUCGGGUUGUAAAGCUCUUUUGUCAGGGAAGAAACGGUAGAGGCUAAUAUCCUUUGCUAAUGACGGUACCUGAAGAAUAAGCACCGGCUAACUACGUGCCAGCAGCCGCGGUAAUACGUAGGGUGCAAGCGUUAAUCGGAAUUACUGGGCGUAAAGCGUGCGCAGGCGGUUGUGUAAGUCAGAUGUGAAAUCCCCGGGCUCAACCUGGGAAUUGCAUUUGAGACUGCACGGCUAGAGUGUGUCAGAGGGGGGUAGAAUUCCACGUGUAGCAGUGAAAUGCGUAGAUAUGUGGAGGAAUACCGAUGGCGAAGGCAGCCCCCUGGGAUAACACUGACGCUCAUGCACGAAAGCGUGGGGAGCAAACAGGAUUAGAUACCCUG
This 411-nucleotide ribosomal RNA is filed under the name Herbaspirillum chlorophenolicum. Its description in RNAcentral is "bacterial SSU rRNA". It matches the Rfam family "Bacterial small subunit ribosomal RNA", at positions 386 to 789 of the family's 1533-position model. RNAcentral also lists the same sequence under 1 other name. Lineage: Bacteria; Pseudomonadati; Pseudomonadota; Betaproteobacteria; Burkholderiales; Oxalobacteraceae. The record is from RNAcentral.